CCUACGGGGGGCAGCAGUGGGGAAUAUUGGACAAUGGGGGGAACCCUGAUCCAGCGACGCCGCGUGAGUGAAGAAGUAUUUCGGUAUGUAAAGCUCUAUCAGCAGGGAAGAAAGCAAUGACGGUACCUGACUAAGAAGCCCCGGCUAACUACGUGCCAGCAGCCGCGGUAAUACGUAGGGGGCAAGCGUUAUCCGGAUGUACUGGGUGUAAGGGGAGCGUAGACGGCGAUGCAAGUCUGAAGUGAAAGGCGGGGGCCCAACCCCCGGAUUGCUUUGGAAACUGUAUGGCUGGAGUGCAGGAGAGGUAAGUGGAAUUCCUAGUGUAGCGGUGAAAUGCGUAGAUAUUAGGAGGAACACCAGUGGCGAAAGCGGCUUACUGGACUGUAACUGACGUUGAGGCUCGAAAGCGUGGGGAGCAAACAGGAUUAGAUACCCCAGUAGUC
This 443-nucleotide ribosomal RNA is filed under the name uncultured bacterium. RNAcentral describes it as "partial 16S ribosomal RNA". It matches the Rfam family "Bacterial small subunit ribosomal RNA", at positions 338 to 795 of the family's 1533-position model. The record is from RNAcentral.